CACGUAGGCGGAUUGUUAAGUUAGGGGUGAAAUCCCGGGGCUCAACCCCGGAACUGCCUCUAAUACUGGCAAUCUCGAGUCCGAGAGAGGUGAGUGGAAUUCCGAGUGUAGAGGUGAAAUUCGUAGAUAUUCGGAGGAACACCAGUGGCGAAGGCGGCUCACUGGCUCGGUACUGACGCUGAGGUGCGAAAGCGUGGGGAGGCAAAACA
Molecule: ribosomal RNA, 209 nt
Filed under: uncultured bacterium
Lineage: Bacteria
Description: partial 16S ribosomal RNA
Rfam family: Bacterial small subunit ribosomal RNA
Source: RNAcentral